Molecule: ribosomal RNA, 490 nt
Filed under: uncultured bacterium
Lineage: Bacteria
Description: partial 16S ribosomal RNA
Rfam family: Bacterial small subunit ribosomal RNA
Source: RNAcentral
AUUGAACGCUGGCGGCAGGCCUAACACAUGCAAGUCGAACGGUAACAGGAAGCAUCUUGCUGCUUUGCUGACGAGUGGCGGACGGGUGAGUAAUGUCUGGGAAACUGCCCGAUGGAGGGGGAUAACUACUGGAAACGGUAGCUAAUACCGCAUAACGUCGCAAGACCAAAGAGGGGGACCUUAGGGCCUCUUGCCAUCUGAUGUGCCCAGAUGGGAUUAGCUAGUAGGUGGGGUAACGGCUCACCUAGGCGACGAUCCCUAGCUGGUCUGAGAGGAUGACCAGCCACACUGGAACUGAGACACGGUCCAGACUCCUACGGGAGGCAGCAGUGGGGAAUAUUGCACAAUGGGCGCAAGCCUGAUGCAGCCAUGCCGCGUGUAUGAAGAAGGCCUUCGGGUUGUAAAGUACUUUCAGCGGGGAGGAAGGGAGUAAAGUUAAUACCUUUGCUCAUUGACGUUACCCGCAGAAGAAGCACCGGCUAACUCCGUG